GGAGGCUGGGCGGGGGAGUCCGGGAGAGGCAACGGGGCCCCCCCUGAGGGGCCAGGGGACCUCCUAGGAGAGAGAGAAGUCUCGGGAGGCAAAGGCUGCAGAGGAGGAGAUGGAUUCGAGAAAUACUCAGCAGGUGACUGAAAGAAUCAGGGACUUCGACGUGGGAGGGCUAUAUUUGGGGAAGUGCCUCCAGCUCCAUUGGCCUGUAACAUAAUGGCUCACUGGUUAAAAACAAGGUCACUGUUAAAAAGGAAAAAACAGCCGUGAUUGUCGGGGUGGUGACUUGCAGGUGACUCAUGGAGCCAAAAAUCAAAGCAAUAAGGGUGACAGCAGGUGGAAACCAGGCAGGCGCCACCCCUCCCUCCCUCUCACCCUCUGGUUCACU
This 385-nucleotide long non-coding RNA is filed under the name Sus scrofa (pig). Its description in RNAcentral is "lncRNA (ENSSSCG00055003516.1, ENSSSCG00070017586.1)". Lineage: Eukaryota; Metazoa; Chordata; Mammalia; Artiodactyla; Suidae. The record is from RNAcentral.